AGAGUUUGAUCAUGGCUCAGGAUGAACGCUGGCGGCGUGCCUAAUACAUGCAAGUCGAGCGAACUGAUUAGAAGCUUGCUUCUAUGACGUUAGCGGCGGACGGGUGAGUAACACGUGGGCAACCUGCCUGUAAGACUGGGAUAACUUCGGGAAACCGAAGCUAAUACCGGAUAGGAUCUUCUCCUUCAUGGGAGAUGAUUGAAAGAUGGUUUCGGCUAUCACUUACAGAUGGGCCCGCGGUGCAUUAGCUAGUUGGUGAGGUAACGGCUCACCAAGGCAACGAUGCAUAGCCGACCUGAGAGGGUGAUCGGCCACACUGGGACUGAGACACGGCCCAGACUCCUACGGGAGGCAGCAGUAGGGAAUCUUCCGCAAUGGACGAAAGUCUGACGGAGCAACGCCGCGUGAGUGAUGAAGGCUUUCGGGUCGUAAAACUCUGUUGUUAGGGAAGAACAAGUACAAGAGUAACUGCUUGUACCUUGACGGUACCUAACCAGAAAGCCACGGCUAACUACGUGCCAGCAGCCGCGGUAAUACGUAGGUGGCAAGCGUUAUCCGGAAUUAUUGGGCGUAAAGCGCGCGCAGGCGGUUUCUUAAGUCUGAUGUGAAAGCCCACGGCUCAACCGUGGAGGGUCAUUGGAAACUGGGGAACUUGAGUGCAGAAGAGAAGAGUGGAAUUCCACGUGUAGCGGUGAAAUGCGUAGAGAUGUGGAGGAACACCCAGUGGCGAAGGCGACUCUUUGGGUCUGUA
Molecule: ribosomal RNA, 751 nt
Filed under: uncultured Bacillus sp.
Lineage: Bacteria; Bacillati; Bacillota; Bacilli; Caryophanales; Bacillaceae
Description: bacterial SSU rRNA
Rfam family: Bacterial small subunit ribosomal RNA
Source: RNAcentral